RNAcentral lists this transfer RNA (76 nucleotides) under Elusimicrobiota bacterium. RNAcentral describes it as "Elusimicrobia bacterium (groundwater metagenome) tRNA-Ala". It matches the Rfam family "tRNA". Rfam says of the family: Transfer RNA (tRNA) molecules are approximately 80 nucleotides in length. Their secondary structure includes four short double-helical elements and three loops (D, anti-codon, and T loops). Further hydrogen bonds mediate the characteristic L-shaped molecular structure. tRNAs have two regions of fundamental functional importance: the anti-codon, which is responsible for specific mRNA codon recognition, and the 3' end, to which the tRNAs corresponding amino acid is attached (by aminoacyl-tRNA synthetases). tRNAs cope with the degeneracy of the genetic code in two manners: having more than one tRNA (with a specific anti-codon) for a particular amino acid; and 'wobble' base-pairing, i.e. permitting non-standard base-pairing at the 3rd anti-codon position. Lineage: Bacteria; Pseudomonadati; Elusimicrobiota. The record is from RNAcentral.
GGGCGUGUAGCUCAGCUGGGAGAGCGCUACCUUCGCAAGGUAGAGGCCGCAGGUUCGAUCCCUGUCACGUCCACCA